GUAGGUGGCAAGCGUUGUCCGGAAUUAUUGGGCGUAAAGCGCGCGCAGGCGGUUCUUUAAGUCUGAUGUGAAAGCCCACGGCUCAACCGUGGAGGGUCAUUGGAAACUGGAGAACUUGAGUACAGAAGAGGAAAGCGGAAUUCCACGUGUAGCGGUGAAAUGCGUAGAGAUGUGGAGGAACACCAGUAGCGAAGGCGGCUUUCUGGUCUGUAACUGACGCUGAGGCGCGAAAGCGUGGGGAGCAAACAGGGAUUAGAUACCCUGGUAGUCCACGCCGUAAACGAUGAGUGCUAAGUGUUAGGGGGGUUUCCGCCCCCUUAGUGCUGCAGCUAACGCAUUAAGCACUCCGCCUGGGAAUACGGCCGCAAGGCUG
RNAcentral lists this ribosomal RNA (373 nucleotides) under uncultured organism. RNAcentral's name for it is "partial 16S ribosomal RNA". It matches the Rfam family "Bacterial small subunit ribosomal RNA", at positions 527 to 896 of the family's 1533-position model. The record is from RNAcentral.